GGGGAAUUUUGGACAAUGGGCGCAAGCCUGAUCCAGCCAUGCCGCGUGAGUGAAGAAGGCCUUCGGGUUGUAAAGCACUUUCAGUCAGGAGGAAGGUGGUGUAGCCAAUAUCUGCACCAAUUGACGUUACUGACAGAAGAAGCACCGGCUAACUCCGUGCCAGCAGCCGCGGUAAUACGGAGGGUGCGAGCGUUAAUCGGAAUUACUGGGCGUAAAGCGUGCGCAGGCGGUUUCUUAAGUCUGAUGUGAAAGCCCCGGGCUCAACCUGGGAUGGUCAUUUCGAACUGGCAAGCUAGAGUCUCGUAGAGGGGGGUAGAAUUCCAGGUGUAGCGGUGAAAUGCGUAGAGAUCUGGAGGAAUACCGGUGGCGAAGGCGGCCCCCUGGACGAAGACUGACGCUCAGGCACGAAAGCGUGGGGAGCAAACA
RNAcentral lists this ribosomal RNA (426 nucleotides) under uncultured Gammaproteobacteria bacterium. RNAcentral's name for it is "bacterial SSU rRNA". It matches the Rfam family "Bacterial small subunit ribosomal RNA", at positions 356 to 774 of the family's 1533-position model. Lineage: Bacteria; Pseudomonadati; Pseudomonadota; Gammaproteobacteria. The record is from RNAcentral.